UGGGCAACCUGCCCCAGACACAGGGAUAACCCCCGGGAAACCGGAGCUAAUACCGGAUACUCCGGCUGGAUCGCAUGGUCCGGCCGGGAAAGGUCCGCCGGAGAGGGAUGGGCCCGCGGCCUAUCAGCUUGUUGGUGAGGUCACGGCUCACCAAGGCUACGACGGGUAGCUGGUCUGAGAGGACGACCAGCCACACUGGGACUGAGACACGGCCCAGACUCCUACGGGAGGCA
Molecule: ribosomal RNA, 233 nt
Filed under: uncultured bacterium
Lineage: Bacteria
Description: partial 16S ribosomal RNA
Rfam family: Bacterial small subunit ribosomal RNA
Source: RNAcentral